This 482-nucleotide ribosomal RNA is filed under the name uncultured bacterium. Its description in RNAcentral is "partial 16S ribosomal RNA". It matches the Rfam family "Bacterial small subunit ribosomal RNA", at positions 30 to 507 of the family's 1533-position model. The record is from RNAcentral.
AUUGAACGCUGGCGGCAUGCUUUACACAUGCAAGUCGAACGGUAACAGCACUUCGGUGGCUGACGAGUGGCGAACGGGUGAGUAAUACAUCGGAACGUGCCUAGUAGUGGGGGAUAACUACUCGAAAGAGUAGCUAAUACCGCAUGAGAUCUAAGGAUGAAAGCAGGGGACCUUCGGGCCUUGCGCUACUAGAGCGGCUGAUGGCAGAUUAGGUAGUUGGUGGGAUAAAAGCUUACCAAGCCGACGAUCUGUAGCUGGUCUGAGAGGACGACCAGCCACACUGGGAUUGAGACACGGCCCAGACUCCUACGGGAGGCAGCAGUGGGGAAUUUUGGACAAUGGGCGCAAGCCUGAUCCAGCAAUGCCGCGUGCAGGAUGAAGGCCUUCGGGUUGUAAACUGCUUUUGUACGGAACGAAAAGCCCUCUUCUAAUACAGGAGGGUCAUGACGGUACCGUAAGAAUAAGCACCGGCUAACUACGUG